CUUAAGAGUAGAGCGAAGGGGGCAACCUAGAGGGAGGAUUGGUUUCAGAAGAUCCGUUGUCCAUUUCUCAGCCAUGGCCCAAAUGUUUCUCUUCCUCCUCUUCCUCCUCACCUACUUCACUGGUGCCUUGGCCCAGUUCACCUUGACUCAACCCCCUUCUCUGUCAGCAUUGCCUGGAGAGACAGUCAGGAUCACCUGUAGAAGGACAGGUGGCAGCAUUUCAAGCAACUAUGUGAGCUGGCAUCAGCAGAAACCUGGCAGUAGUCCUCUCACAUUGAUCUAUGGGGAUAGCAAGAGACCUUCUGGAAUCCCUGAGCGAUUUUCUGGUUCCGUUGACUCUUCGUCCAAUUCGGCCAUCUUGUCCAUCUCCAACAUUCAAGGAGGAGACGAGGCUGAUUACUACUGUGGUAGUUGGAGCAGUGGAGCUAGCACGCUGCACAGUGGUAAAUGCUUAUGGGGAAGUGUGACAAAAACCUGCACUCUUCCUCUUCAGCUUGAAACAAGAAGCAACAAACCUUGACCUGUGACUGGGGAC
Molecule: non-coding RNA, 535 nt
Organism: Python bivittatus (Burmese python)
Lineage: Eukaryota; Metazoa; Chordata; Lepidosauria; Squamata; Pythonidae
Source: the annotation of a RefSeq genome assembly